GAUGAACGCUGGCGGCGUGCCUAAUACAUGCAAGUCGAGCGAACAGACGAUGAGCUUGCUCCUCUGCCGUUAGCGGCGGACGGGUGAGUAACACGUGGAUCACCUACUUCUAAGACUGGGAUAACUUCGGGAAACCGCAGCCAAUACCGGAUAAUAUAUUGAACCGCAUGGUUCAAUAGUGAAAGACGGUUUUGCUGUCACUUAUAGAUGGAUCCGCGCCGGAUUAGCUAGUUGGUAAGGUAACGGCUUACCAAGGCAACGAUGCGUAGCCGACCUGAGAGGGUGAUCAGCCACACUGGAACUGAGACACGGUCCAGACUCCUACGGGAGGCAGCAGUAGGGAAUCUUGCACAAUGGGCGAAAGCCUGAUGGAGCAACGCCGCGUGAGUGAUGAAGGUCUUCGGGUCGUAAAGCUCUUUUAUUGGGGAAGAAAAGAAGUAGAUGAAACUAUGGAUGUUUUGACGGUACCCAAAGAGUAAGCCACGGCUAACUUCGUG
Molecule: ribosomal RNA, 497 nt
Filed under: uncultured bacterium
Lineage: Bacteria
Description: partial 16S ribosomal RNA
Rfam family: Bacterial small subunit ribosomal RNA
Source: RNAcentral